UGAGGAAUAUUGGGCAAUGCCCGAAAGGGUGACCCAGCAACGCCGCGUGGAGGAUGAAGGUCGUAAGAUUGUAAACUCCUGUUAGAGGGGAAGAAUAACUAAGUUUGGAGCUUAGUAUGACUGUACCCUCAGAGAAAGCCCCGGCUAACUACGUGCCAGCAGCCGCGGUAAUACGUAGGGGGCAAGCGUUGUCCGGAUUUACUGGGUGUAAAGGGCGCGCAGGCGGAAUGGAAAGUCAGUGGUGAAAUCCUACAGCUUAACUGUAGAACUGCCUUUGAUACUUUCAUUCUUGAGUUCGGGAGAGAGAGACGGAAUUCCAGGUGUAGUGGUGAAAUACGUAGAUAUCUGGAAGAACACCAGCUGCGAAGGCGGUCUCUUGGUCCGAUACUGACGCUGAGGCGCGAAAGCGUGGGGAGCAAACA
RNAcentral lists this ribosomal RNA (422 nucleotides) under uncultured bacterium. Its description in RNAcentral is "bacterial SSU rRNA". It matches the Rfam family "Bacterial small subunit ribosomal RNA", at positions 355 to 774 of the family's 1533-position model. The record is from RNAcentral.